This 458-nucleotide long non-coding RNA is filed under the name Homo sapiens (human). Its description in RNAcentral is "HSALNT0408392". The record is from RNAcentral. Lineage: Eukaryota; Metazoa; Chordata; Mammalia; Primates; Hominidae.
GAUGCUUAGAAAAUACAUCAGAGGAGGACAGAAACUCAGAUAUCUCUGCAUCCUGAAUUCAUUGGUGGAAUUGCUACUGUGCCCAGUAAAAGCAUUUCAGUCAUGCAAGGAGAGGAUGUUAAGGUAAAGGAAUGAAACCGAAGACCAGAAAGUGGUAAAAAGCAGCAGUGAAGAAACCAAAACUAAAACAAACCAGCAAAGACCAUAUUCAGCUCACAGCCUUUCAGGAACUGAAGUAGAUCAUUGGCCCAGACUCUCCACUGAAUCCGAAGAAUGCUUUGCAGGGGAUGUUCAGAGGCUUACCUGAGAAUGAGAGAAAAAGAAAUGAGCAAAUGACUCCUGAUUAUCAGUGGGAGACAGGAAGCGACCAUUUAACAUCCAAAGGAAAACUCAGAGGUUAAGCAAUUCAUCUCCUAGUUUUUACAAAUUGUCACAACUCUCCAAAAAUUUUCUGAUAU